RNAcentral lists this ribosomal RNA (253 nucleotides) under uncultured bacterium. Its description in RNAcentral is "partial 16S ribosomal RNA". It matches the Rfam family "Bacterial small subunit ribosomal RNA", at positions 524 to 776 of the family's 1533-position model. The record is from RNAcentral.
UACAGAGGUCUCAAGCGUUGUUCGGAAUCACUGGGCGUAAAGGGUGCGUAGGCGGCACGGUAAGUCGGGUGUGAAAUCCCUCGGCCCAACCGAGGAACUGCGCCCGAGACUGCUUCUCUUGAGUCCCGGAGAGGAAGAUGGAAUUCCCGGUGUAGCGGUGAAAUGUGUAGAGAUCGGGAGGAACACCGGUGGCGAAGGCGGUCUUCUGGACGGUGACUGACGCUGAGGCGCGAAAGCGUGGGGAGCAAACGGG